GCUGGAGCAGGAGACGGAGGAACUGGAUGAGACAGAGUCCGGAGGCAGCAACAUUGGGGGCGGACGUCGAUCCGGUCAGGAGGAAGAUGCUAUCCUCUCGCCUAAAAGGAUUUCAGCUUCAUUAAAUUGCCGUUAAGAGUAGUUGGUUCUGUUAUGCUAUGUUGCAGGAACUAUUUUAUUAUUGUAUGUCCAAGUACGUGAAAGCCAUAUAAAAGGCAAACCAUUAGUUUUUAUAAUUAAUUAAUGAAUUAAGUUACAACAAAAACGGAAAUCGGGUUGAAGCAACCCUAACUCCAGUCUACUGUUUUAUUGCUGCCGAUCUCCCCCUGUUUCCAAUCGAUCUCCCCAAGUACCGUCUAUCAUUGGUGCUUUCAACACCUCCUGCCUGUCGGGAUUUGAUCAGGAUUCUGCCUGCCGCGAUUUGAUCAGGAUCUGCCCAUCAUCUGAAGAUCUUCAGAAGAUCAAGAUUUGCAAAAAAAAGCAUAUCAAAAGCAUGUUCUUUGUUUAAGAGAUCCUAAACAGGAACGUAUAUAUUCCAUUAAACUCAAUAUCAUUGCUAUUAUUGAAUAAAAUAAAUUUCAGGACACUUAUUACAUCUGAGGAACAUCUGAAGAAGGUUUUGUAGACCUAUAAAAUUUACAAAAAAAUUUCGCCAAAAGUAGGUUCUCUACUUAAGAGAUCCGGAUCAGGGACGUAUCUAAUCAUCCCUAUCUUAUUUGUUCUUCUAUUAAGUGACACAGUUAUAUUUCAAAUUCAUCAUCAUCAUCUGAUAAAUGGCUGAUCCCAUGGAUAUCCAACUAAAAAGACUCCAAAUUAAACAGGACACUGAAGCUGAGAGACUGAGAAACAUGGAAAUGAUAAGUAAUCCAGAGAAUCAAAUUCAGCAAAAGCAAGAAAUGAAGUACAAAUCUAUCAACAGUAUUCCCUAUACCAACAGUAGAUGAGAUACUAGCUGAACUAAAGGGGGCUAAAAUAUUUUCAAAGCUAGAUUUGAGAUCUGGCUAUCAUCAGAUAUUAAUAAACCCUAGUGAUGUGGAGAAAAAAGCUUUUAGAACCCACCAGGGUCACUAUGAGUUUCUAGUGAUGCCCUUUGGCCUCACCAAUACCUCAGCAACCUUCCAAGUUACUAUGAAUAGAAUAUUUUCACCACUAUUAAGGAAGUUUGUGCUGGUUUUCUUUGAUGAUAUUCUAGUUUUCAGUUCUUCUAGAGAGGACCAUGUUAAUCAUCUGAAAACUGUUUUAAUGACACUUAGGGAGAAUCAACUAUUUGCCAAGCAGUCCAAGUGCUUAUUUUUUUAGAGUGAACUGCAGUUCUUGGGACACAAUAUCAGAGCAGAUGGUAAAUCCUGAUCCAGAGAAGGUAUCUUCAAUUCUGAAUUGGCCAACUCCAAAGAAUGUUAAAGCUUUGAGAGGAUUUAUGGGUCUUUCAGGGUAUUACAAAAAGUUUGUUAAAAAUUAUUCCCACCUAGCUGCCCCUAUGACAGACUUACUAAAAAAAGAUCAAUUUGCAUGGAAUGACCUGGCAGAAAAGGGUUUUUUUAUCUCUGAAAGAAGCCAUAGUCUCAGCCCCAGUAUUGCAUCAUCCAGAUUUUGAAAAUCCAUUUGCUAUAGAGACUGAUGCUUACUUAAAUGGAGUUGGGGCAGUAUUAAGUCAGGAGGGUCACCCUAUUGCAUUUUUUAGUUCAAGAAUAUCAGGUAGAAUGCUAUUAGCAUCUACUUAUUCAAAAGAAAUGCUAGCUAUCACUCAAGCUAUUUCUAAGUGGAGGCAUUAUAUAUUGGGCCAUCAUUUUGUAAUCCAUACAGACCACCAAAGCAUAAAGAACAUGGUGAGCCAGAUAAUACAAACCCUUGACCAACAGAAGUUUCUAUGCCAAUUGUUGGGAUUUGAUUAUUCUAUUAAAUACAGGCCAGGAAAAGAAAAUAAAGCAGCAGAUGGUUUGUCAAAACAGUUUGAGGGAGAUGAUUCUAAGGGAGAAUUACAGGCAGGAUCAGUGUUAAGUCUGUGUGCCCUGGUUAGUAGAUUAAUUGACGGAGUGAAAGAGGAACAAAACUCAGAUACAAAGCUAUUAAAAAUAAAAGAGAGCAUCCAGAAAGGUACUGAAAGCAAUACACAGUUGAUAUUGAGAGAAGGAUUACUUCUCAUGAACAAUAGAUAUGUGGUAUCACCCACCUCAGUCUUAAUUAGUGACAUUCUUAGAGAAUAUCAUGACAGCAUCAUUGGUGGUCAUUCAGGGGUGGAAAGAACAAUUAGAAGAAUUAAAUUAAUUUUCUGGUGGAAGGGAAUGUCAAAAGAAAUAAAAAAAUAUGUAGAGGAUUGUGUGGUGUGUCAAAGAAUGAAAACAUAUAUUAAAAGACCACAAGGUCUCUUCCUACACCUGAAGCAGUAUGGCAGGAUAUCUCAACAGAUUUUAUAACCAAUCUACCAGUGGUCAAGGAUAAAUAAGUUAUUAUAAUUGUAGUGGACAGACUAUUUAAAUUCUGCCACUUGGGAAGUUUACCAGCUGAUUUCAACUCUAAGAUGGUGGCAACCUUCUUUGUGCAAGAAGUAAUAAGAUUGCAUGGUGUACCAACAUCAAUCAUUUCUGAGAGGGACAAGGUUUUCACUAGUAGUUUUUGGAGAGAAAUUAAUAGACUAAGUGGAACAACUCUGAAGUUAUCCUCUGCAUACCACCAGAGACUGAGGUAGUAAAUAGAGGUAUUGAAAUAUUCUUAAGGUGUUUAGCUUAUGAACAACCAAAAAAAUGGUUAACCCUACUCCCUUGGGCAGAGUUAUGGCACAACUCCACAUUUAAUGUAUCAAUAGAGAUGACCCCAUUUAAAGCUCUAUAUGGCAGGGAGGCUAACACCUUUGUGGAAGCAGUUAAAGGAAGUUCAACUAAUAUUGAGACUGAAGAGGAAUUGCUUAGAAGGCAGGAAAUUCUAGAAAUAGUUAAAAUUAAUAUGGGCAGAGCAAAAGAGAGAAUGAAGAAGCAAGUUGAUCUUCAUAGAAGGGAAAUGGAGUUCGAAAUUGGGGAUUGGGUAUUUGUUAAACUGAAGCUUUACAGACAGAUACCUAUUGCUAAAAAACUACAUCACAAACUCUCAGCAAGAUAUUAUAGGCCUUAUGAAAUUUUAAAAAAUAUCAGUGAGGUGGCAUACAAAAUCAAAUUACCAAACAAUAGCCUAAUUCAUGAUGUUUUUCAUGUCAGCUUGAAGAAAUAUAGAGGAAUAUUACCACCCGUGGAAAUUGGGUGCUUAACCAAAGUUACAAUUGGAAGUCAGCCGGUAAUUUAUCCUGAGGCGGUACUGGAAAAGAGGGCUUUACUGGGAAAGGGGAAUCUGGUGGAGCAAGCGUCUAUCAGAAUUCCAGAGCUUUCGAUUCUAUCUACAAUUUAGGUAUAUGUGCUCCGGCGUUUCCUCAACUUCUUCACACAGAGUGCACUCUGAUGGGCAUUAGUAGCGUCAAGCUCUGAGGCUGUUGAAGGUAUGUAAUCUGUUCCACUUUAAACUCCACAAAAGUAUACUCAUUUUUUAUUUUAUCCAAUUGACCAAAAUAGAUUGGUCAUUUGAUCAAAUUGUGGUGGUUUUUGUGGAUUUGAUCCAUCUUAAAAUGAAAAAGAAUUAUUGUGAAAGUUCGGAAGUAAUAACAAUUAUAGAAAUUAAACAGGGGCAUAAAUAAAAUAUUCCCUUAGCCGUGAG
Molecule: long non-coding RNA, 3678 nt
Filed under: Zostera marina
Lineage: Eukaryota; Viridiplantae; Streptophyta; Magnoliopsida; Alismatales; Zosteraceae
Description: long non-coding RNA (ZMAR_LNC002115)
Source: RNAcentral